Molecule: ribosomal RNA, 433 nt
Filed under: uncultured bacterium
Lineage: Bacteria
Description: partial 16S ribosomal RNA
Rfam family: Bacterial small subunit ribosomal RNA
Source: RNAcentral
AACGAACGCUGGCGGCAUGCCUAACACAUGCAAGUCGAACGAGACCUUCGGGUCUAGUGGCGCACGGGUGCGUAACGCGUGGGAACCUGCCCUUAGGUUCGGAAUAACUCCCCGAAAGGGGUGCUAAUACCGGAUAAUGUCUUCGGACCAAAGAUUUAUCGCCUUUGGAUGGGCCCGCGUUGGAUUAGCUAGUUGGUAGGGUAAAAGCCUACCAAGGCGACGAUCCAUAGCUGGUCUGAGAGGAUGAUCAGCCACACUGGGACUGAGACACGGCCCAGACUACUACGGGAGGCAGCAGUGGGGAAUAUUGGACAAUGGGCGAAAGCCUGAUCCAGCAAUGCCGCGUGAGUGAUGAAGGCCUUAGGGUUGUGAAGCUCUUUUACCCGGGAUGAUAAUGACAGUACCGGGAGAAUAAGCUCCGGCUAACUUCGUG